Long non-coding RNA from Neofelis nebulosa (Clouded leopard), 657 nucleotides. RefSeq lists it as uncharacterized. NCBI's taxonomy places the organism in Eukaryota, Metazoa, Chordata, Mammalia, Carnivora, Felidae. The transcript has 4 exons. The record is from RefSeq and is a predicted model, not a curated record.
CAAGAUCAAACUUUCUUCCUGAUUUCCUGCAUUGGUUGAAAGAAGAAAACACGCUUAUGUUUAGAAAUAGAGUCCUGGCACUGUGGAAGAAAGAACGCACAAGAAUUACUAGGUCAAGCUCAGAUCCUGUCUGCUCAUUCCUUCCUUCAUUCAUUCCGAACUCAGCCUUUGGAGAGAGAGCCAUAUCAAUAAACAUGCAAAAUAUACAAGAUGAAGUGUGUGCUGUCCCGCGGUUACUUCCUGAGUCAGAGGAAGAGAAAACACCACGUUCUCUCUGGAGGAAUCACGGAAGACCUUCCACCCUUAACGGGAGGCAUUUGAGAAGAUAGAGGAACGUGUUAAAUGACACCAGCAAGUUCACAGGCGAGUACAGAGUAUAAGACGUUCUGCAAGACAACUAACCCAGAUUCUGUAGGAAAGAAAAAAAGAAGGUACACGACUCUGGGUUACAGGAGACCUAAAAGGUGUAAUAAUCAAAUGUGCUGUGCGACCUCGCCUGAACGCUAACAAGAAUUUUUUUCAACAUUGUUGGGCAAAAAUGAUUAUGAGCUUGGGAUUGGGUGACACGAGAAAAGUGACUGUAAAUUUUGUGGGGAGCGAUAAUGACACUGGGUCUUUUGGAAAAUAUCCUUAUCUUUAGAGAGGUAGAAGAAACAU